Molecule: long non-coding RNA, 848 nt
Organism: Girardinichthys multiradiatus
Lineage: Eukaryota; Metazoa; Chordata; Actinopteri; Cyprinodontiformes; Goodeidae
Exons: 3
Source: RefSeq, a predicted model, not a curated record
CACAGAACAGGUGUGGGUUUGGGGUGCAGGGAGACAGAAAACAAAGGACUUGACUAGAGAGCCGAGGAACCACGCUGAAGAAGCCUGAACUGAGGCUCUUUUGACUUGCCUUUCCUCUCCAGUCGUCUGCUGAAUGCAUCAGUCCAGACCAGCUGUAGUUCUCAUCAGAGCAUCUCUGGCAGAAGAGGAAAUGUUGGAUUCUGUAAAAAAAAAAAAAAAAAAGAUGAAAACAGCUGAGAUCGGUGUAUAAAAAUACCUUCUUAUAAAGUGGCCUGCUGAUUUAAGUAGCUCAGCAAAUCAUUUAGACACUCACAGCCUGUCCUUCUGGUUCAACAAGACCUCUGAGAUUCACAGGGAGACAAAUUCAAAUAUGUGUUCAUUUGAAUUAUUGUAUCUUUGUGCAAUGAAAUACUUCUGAUAUGAUGACUAAUCCAGAGGAAGUCAUUAUGCCUUACUCGCAUAUAUCAAAUGAUAACUUGCAACUGAAGAUGAAUUUGUACAAAGUUUCCACAUUUUGUCACAUUUACACCACUAACUUCAGUUUGUUCUAUUGGGAUUUUAUUUCAUAGACCAACAUGAAGUAACUUCACUGUGAAGUAGAAGACAGAAAACCUUUAGCUCCAUCCAUAUCCUCAUCAACUGUGAACAGCUUCACUGCUAAAGAAAAGCAAACCAACAGCAUGAUGCUGCCACCACCAUGCAUCAGUGUGGAGAUGAUGUGUUUAGGUGGAUGUUCAGUGUUAGUUUUCCAUUAGUGUUUUUGGCUGAUCCAACCAGAGCACCUUCUUUCACAUGUUUUAUACUUUUACAUGGCUUAUGUCAAACUACAGGACUUUUUUUUUCCACCA